CAACAUUAGGUGCAUCUUGACCCUCAGAGGAAUUGUUUGGCCUUUGAACUGGGAAACAGGUUCAUUGAUCACCAUGUUAUCCCUAGUCACUGGAACAAUUUGGUCUGAUCCGGUUGGACUAGAAGCCGUACCAAUAUGGCGGUUUCCAACCAUCUGACCGACAGCGAUAUUCCCUAGAAGUGACCAACUUCCCAUCGAUGGGCCACCAUAGUAACGCCUAGGACGAAUCAUUCUGCGACGCCUUUUGUUGCACCAAAAUCCACCAGUACACUAGUAGAAAUUUUAAUAUAGGCACCCCCCCUUUAGCACUGGUUCUUGAAAACCGGUGCCAACAGAAAUGGGCGGGAUUGGAAAAUUCAGAGUUGGCACCGAUUCCAACCAAAACCGGUGCCUACUAAUCUAAUUAGCACCGGUUCAAACCGGUGCCAACCCAAAAAAAAAAAAAAACCCGGAAGAAAACAAUAGAGUUGCCACUGGUUCGUCUUAAACCGCUGCCAACUAUAGUAGUUAGCACCGGUUUGAACCGGUGCCAUUAAAAAAAACCGGGCUUCUCGUAUUUCUUCUUCUUCUUUUCUUUCCCCCUGAUUUUUCAACACUUGUUUUUUCCCUUAUUCUCACCUUCUCUUCCAGGCCACCACCUCCGAAUUCCCACCUUCUCCAUUGAAGCCGUUUUUGUGCUCUAUAUCUCCGUCCGUUGAAGCAGUUGCAUGCACCUCCUUCUCUCUCCAUAUCUCUCCUCCAUUGAACUCGUGCUCUCUAUUCUCCAUUGAAGCGCAUUCUGAGUUUUCUCACCUCCAUUGAAGCAGCUUCGAGAUUAUUGUUAUAUAAAUGGAAUUUGUAGUAAAAGUUCCUGUGAAUGUGAGUACUUCUUCACAAUGCAAAUUUGGUGGAUUUUCUGGGAAUAUAAUCAGAAAAUCUGGGAUUGCGAAUGGGCGUAGGUCGUUUAUUUCAGCUGUAAUGUCAAGUAGCCCUGCUCCUAAUGUCCAAAAUCUUUCUAUCAAGUCCAAAGAUGUUGGAUUGCCUGUUAUGCACCUACGGCCCUGUCCAGGAUGUUAGGAUUCCAAGUCAAGAGAGAAGGAUGUUUGGAUUUGUUACCUUUGUUUACCCAGAAACAGUUCGGAAGAUCUUGGCCAAGGGGAACCCGCAUUUUGUUUGUGGUGCUCGUGUUCUUGUGAAACCAUACAGGGAAAAGUCAAGGCUUGUUGACAGUUUUUUGUAUUGGUGUGAAGGAGUAAAAACACUUUUAGGAGAAGACUGGCAUAUAUUCCUUGAUCAAAUUAGUCCGACUGAUGCUGUUGGAGCCAGUAACAAAUAUCUCAUCCACAGAGAUAGCUGUAAACUAUUUAUGCAAAGAAUAUGAAUUUUAUCUUGAGGCUUGAUUAAACUAUUAUGAAUACUUAGUGAGCUUUUAAAUAUUCUAAUUUGGAUCAAUACCUUCUAGCCCUUAUAGUUUCAUCUCUGGUAUUUUUAUCGGUAGGAGAUGAGGCUUUUCAUAUGGAGAUUUAGAGAGAGAUAGUCUCAUUUCAGUUACGGUUGUUAAUUUGGUUGAAACUUCAAUUUCCUAACUUUUUCUAAAGCCAAUAUCGAGUUUCAUAUAUUGUCUACUUUGUUGACAACAUAUCUUUAUGCUUUUCUUCAUCCAGAUAGUACCAUUUGAUCCCACUAAGAAAAAGAAGAAGAAAAAGGUUGUCAUUCAAGAUCCUGCUGAUGAACCUUUGGAUAAAUUGGCUGAGAAAACAGAAAACUUGUCAGGAUCAGGAAGGCAAGGAAGCUACUACUGUAGACGAGACUUUUCAUAGAGCUCUGGAAUACGGGCUUCCUACUCGAUUUCCAUUUUUCACAAUAUAUAGUCCUAUUAUGUAUAUGUGUAAUACUACAAGUUAUUGAAGAAAAUAUAUGUAUUCUAUGUAUAUUAUGAUUAUAUAUAAG
Long non-coding RNA from Chenopodium quinoa (quinoa), 1929 nucleotides. RefSeq lists it as uncharacterized. NCBI's taxonomy places the organism in Eukaryota, Viridiplantae, Streptophyta, Magnoliopsida, Caryophyllales, Amaranthaceae. The record is from RefSeq and is a predicted model, not a curated record. The transcript is spliced from 5 exons.